Molecule: ribosomal RNA, 465 nt
Filed under: Vreelandella stevensii
Lineage: Bacteria; Pseudomonadati; Pseudomonadota; Gammaproteobacteria; Oceanospirillales; Halomonadaceae
Description: partial 16S ribosomal RNA
Rfam family: Bacterial small subunit ribosomal RNA
Source: RNAcentral
CCUACGGGUGGCUGCAGUGGGGAAUAUUGGACAAUGGGCGAAAGCCUGAUCCAGCCAUGCCGCGUGUGUGAAGAAGGCCUUCGGGUUGUAAAGCACUUUCAGUGGGGAAGAAAGCCUUGGGGCUAAUACCCUCGAGGAAGGACAUCACCCACAGAAGAAGCACCGGCUAACUCCGUGCCAGCAGCCGCGGUAAUACGGAGGGUGCGAGCGUUAAUCGGAAUUACUGGGCGUAAAGCGCGCGUAGGCGGUCUGAUAAGCCGGUUGGGAAAGCCCCGGGCUCAACCUGGGAACGGCAUCCGGAACUGUCAGGCUAGAGUGCAGGAGAGGAAGGUAGAAUUCCCGGUGUAGCGGUGAAAUGCGUAGAGAUCGGGAGGAAUACCAGUGGCGAAGGCGGCCUUCUGGACUGACACUGACGCUGAGGUGCGAAAGCGUGGGUAGCAAACAGGAUUAGAUACCCCAGUAGUC